AUGUCGCUUAUUCUUUUCAACAUUGUGGCAGAUCUUCUAGCAGUUUUCAUUAGCCGAGCCAAGGAAGCAGGUCAUGUUGCGGGCUUAAUUCCUCAUCUUGUGGAUGGUGGGGUAUGGGUACUUCAGUAUGCCGAUAACACUAUCAUCUUCAUGGAACAUGACAUUGAAAAGGCAAAAAAAAAUAUGAAACUUAUUCUUUGUUUAUUCGACCAGUUAUCUGGUCUCAAAAUUACUUCCACGAGAGCGAACUCUUCUGCUUUGCAAAAACCAAAGAAGAAGAGGAUCAGUACAAACAUCUGUUUGGUUGUGAGUUAG
RNAcentral lists this ribosomal RNA (315 nucleotides) under Triticum aestivum (bread wheat). RNAcentral's name for it is "partial small subunit ribosomal RNA". Lineage: Eukaryota; Viridiplantae; Streptophyta; Magnoliopsida; Poales; Poaceae. The record is from RNAcentral.